RNAcentral lists this ribosomal RNA (486 nucleotides) under uncultured bacterium. Its description in RNAcentral is "partial 16S ribosomal RNA". It matches the Rfam family "Bacterial small subunit ribosomal RNA", at positions 28 to 507 of the family's 1533-position model. The record is from RNAcentral.
GAUGAACGCUGGCGGCGUGCCUAAUACAUGCAAGUCGAACGCUGGAAAUCUAGCUUGCUAGAUUGAAGGAGUGGCGAACGGGUGAGUAAUACAUAAGCAACCUACCCACGAAGACUGGGAUAAUCUCUGGAAACGGGGACUAAUACCGGAUAGGUAAUCGGAAGGCAUCUUCUGAUUAUUAAAGGUUAAAAACACUGGUGGAUGGGCUUAUGGCGCAUUAGUUAGUUGGUGAGGUAACGGCCCACCAAGACGAUGAUGCGUAGCCGGCCUGAGAGGGUGAACGGCCACAUUGGGACUGAGACACGGCCCAGACUCCUACGGGAGGCAGCAGUAGGGAAUUUUCGGCAAUGGGGGAAACCCUGACCGAGCAACGCCGCGUGAGUGAGGACGGCCUUCGGGUUGUAAAGCUCUGUUGUAAGGGAAGAACGGUAGAUAGAGAAUAUCUAAAUGACGGUACCUUACCAGAAAGCCACGGCUAACUACGUG